This 484-nucleotide ribosomal RNA is filed under the name uncultured bacterium. RNAcentral describes it as "partial 16S ribosomal RNA". It matches the Rfam family "Bacterial small subunit ribosomal RNA", at positions 28 to 523 of the family's 1533-position model. The record is from RNAcentral.
GACGAACGCUGGCGGCGUGCUUAACACAUGCAAGUCGAACGAUGAAGCCGGGGCUUGCUCUGGUGAAUUAGUGGCGAACGGGUGAGUAACACGUGAGUAACCUGCCCUUGACUCCGGGAUAACUGCGGGAAACUGUAGCUAAAACCGGAUACGACCCUUGGAGCCAUCACCUGGUGGGGGAAAGAAGUUCGUUCACGGCUGGAGUAGCGGCCUAUCAUGUAGUUGGUGCGUGAAAGGCUCACCAAGGCGACGACGGGUAGCCGGCCUGAGAGGGGGACCGGCCACACUGGGACUGAGACACGGCCCAGACUCCUACGGGAGGCAGCAGUGGGGAAUAUUGCACAAUGGGCGCAAGCCUGAUGCAGCAACGCCGCGUGAGGGAUGACGUCCUUCGGGUUGUAAACCUCUUUUAGCAGGGAAGAAGCGAAAGUGACGGUACCUACAGAAAAAGCACCGGCUAACUACGUGCCAGCAGCCGCGGUAA